This 6505-nucleotide long non-coding RNA is filed under the name Brassica napus (rape). RNAcentral's name for it is "long non-coding RNA (BNAP_LNC006398)". The record is from RNAcentral. Lineage: Eukaryota; Viridiplantae; Streptophyta; Magnoliopsida; Brassicales; Brassicaceae.
UUUGUGGUUUAGAAGUUAAGAUCAAAAGAUUAUUUGUGGAUAGUUGAGUAUUCUUUCAGAAUUUUUCAUCAAUAUGUUGUAUUUUUAAAUAAUUUUCUUUAAAACUGCUAUUUUUAGAAAGUUUUCAUUUUAUAUAGAAAUAUUGUAGAUUUGGGUUUGUGAUUUAGAAAUUAGGAUUACAAGAAUUUUUGUGGAUAGAUAAGUAUUCUUUCAGAGUUUUUCAUCAAUAGGUUGUAUUUUUAAAUAAUUUUCUUAAAAAUGGCUAUUUUUGGAAAGUGUUCAUUUUUUAGAGAAAUAUUGUAGAUUUGAGUUUGUGGUUUAGAAUUUAAGAUCAAAAGAUUAUUUGUGGAUAGUUGAGUAUUCUUUCAGAUUUUUUCAUCAAUAUGUUGUCUUUUUAAAUAAUUUUUUUAAAAACUGCUAUUUUUAGAAAGUUUUCAUUUUAUAGAGAAAUAUUGUAGAUUUGAGUUUGUUAUUUAGAAAUUUGAAUUACAAGAAUAUUUUUGGAUUGUUGAGUAUUCUUUCAGAGUUUUUCAUCAAUAGGUUGUAUUUUUAAAUAAUUUUCUUAAAAACUGCUAUUUUUGGAAAGUGUUUAUUUUUUAGAGAAAUAUUGUAGAUUUGAGUUUGUGGUUUAGAAGUUAAGAUCAAAAGAUUAUUUGUGGAUAGUUGAGUAUUCUUUCAGAUUUUUUCAUCAAUAUGUUGUAUUUUUAUUUUUUUUAGAGAAAUAUUUUAAAUUUGGGUUUACGGUAUAGAAAUUAAGAUAACAAGAAUAUUUUUGGAUAGUUGAGUAUUCUUUCAGAUUUUUUCAUCAAUAGGUUGUAUUUUGGGAAAUUUGACCCUAUAACCAAAAAAAAAACUAUAUUUCAUCAUCUAACCAUAUAACCCUCUCUCUCUCUUCAUUUCCCUUCCUAUCUCUCUCUACCUUCUUACUACAAAACUAAUAUUUUUCCCAUUAUAAUCAUCUAGCAAAUUAACCCUUGUAUUUUUAAAUAAUUUUCUUAAAAACUGAUAUUUUUGGGAAGUUUUCAUUUUUUUAGAGAAAUAUUGUAGAUUUGAGUUUGUGGUUUAAAUUUUAAGAUAAAAAGAUUAUUUGUUGAUAAUUGAGUAUUCUUUCAGAUUUUUUCAUCAAUAUGUUGUAUUUUAAAAUAAUUUUCUAAAAAACUGCUAUUUUUAGAAAGUCUUCAUUUUAUAUAGAAAUAUUGUAGAUUUGGGUUUGUGAUUUUGAAAUUAGGAUUACAAGAAUAUUUGUGGAUAGAUUGAUUAAAAAAAUCCCAAUAUCUAAUUAUCUGAUAUAAUAUUUUAAUUUUAUAUUAUUAUUAUUUUAAUAGUAUAUUAUUAUUAUUUUAAUAGUAUAUGUCAACUUUGUGUUAUUUUUAUAAAUUUAUUUUUAUGGAUCUGAAUAUAUGCAAAUAUUAUAGUGUUUAGGGAAAUAUCUGAAAUAUGUGGAUGUGAAAACCACACAUUCUAGUUCAGAUAAUUAAACUUGGAUUUAGAUAUCUAGAAUUAUUUUGGAUUAUAGAUCCAUCCCCUUCUACUAUACACUCUUACCUAAUUUUAAAUUUUAAAUUAUCAAACUUUAUUUAUUUAAUUAUUGUUUGAUUUUAUAUUAAUUUCAAAACAUACAAUUAUAAAAUUUUACUAAAAUAACAUGAUUUAGUACUUUUAAUAUUAAACUAUGCCCACAUAUAAUGGAAGAGACAACAAAUAUACUAGUUGAAAAUUAUAUUUUGACAAUUAUAAAAUAUAGAGUUUAAAAUAUUCUUUCAGACCACAUGUUAAAAUCCAAUUCCAUUAUCGUAUUUUACUAUAAAAAAUUGUUUUGGUACAAGAGAUUUUAAUAAAUUUAUUUUCUUGUCCAUUUAUGGUCAAAAUGUAUCCAUAAUUUAUUGCUUUUCUAAAAAAAAUUUACAAAUACUUACUUGGAAUAACAAAAAGCUAAAUUAAAUAUAUUGACGAAAAAUUUGUUUUCACAAUUGUGCACAAGAAACUUGAACAUGCUUCGAACUUCGCUACAACAUUCAAGAUUCAACUCCUGUAUAUGCAAAUAUCUUUUGACUUUCCUCCAACCCAUAAGCCACAUACAACUUAAUAUUUUACAUGCUCACGCUCACAUUCAGAUCGAACAAAAUACAUCAUCACAUUUAACUCAUUCAAGCCACCAACAAAGUUCUUCACUACCACAGCUUUAAGUGUCUUUCUUUGACAGUUACUUGAAGUGUGCAAAACAUGGCAUAUAAUUGUUUGAUAAAGACACUUAAAGUCGUGGUGGUUAUGGACUUUGUUGGUUGCCAGAACUGAGUUAAAUGUGUGAUGAGGUAUUUCAUUCUGUCCAAGAGUGAAUGUGAGCUGUUGUUAGAAAGUAUUUUAGUUUUACGUGGGUUGUAUGCGUUAGAGGAUCUACAAAGGAAAGGAAAGACAAACACAUGAAGACAUUUAUAAUUGGAAUACAAGAAAAACUAUAUGUAUACUAAUUUACAGUGGUCAGGGUUCUAAUCUUUUGUUGCUCGGUUUUUGGUUGUACAGAGUUAUCUAUUUUUUGGUAGGGUGUUUGUGUUUACGAGGGAGGUUGAUCCCCUAUGGUGGUUUAUGGUACUGAUCUGUUGUAUUGUCUUGGAAAAUCAGUAUAUAAGAACUUUCAGAUGAAAAAAAAAACUGAUUUACAGUGAUUUAGGGAAAAAAGUAUGCUGAAGUAAAAGAUAAGGGUAGGUUCAUUUGAAUAUGUUUUUCGUAACCAUAUGUUAAAAAUCUAAUUCCAUGUUCAUCAUUCCACCAACCAACCUAUUAUAUAUAGACUGUAUAUAUGUAUCUGUAUUCAUUAUCUGGUUUUCGAUUUGGGCAUUUCGAUUUUUGGUUCAGUUUUCAAUCCUUUUUUUUAGAUAUCUAUGAUCUUUUCGGUUAUUUAUAAAAUUCAGUUUGGUUUAUCAUUGGUUAUUUCGGUUUUCAAUUUAUUUCAGACAAUAAAAUUGGAAUCUAUAAAGUUUGUAUUUAAUUUCAUUAAUUUAAAUACUUUCUAUGGAUAAUUUGGAUUUCUUCCAGAAAAGUUAUCGGGUAAUUCAGGGUUUUUAGACAAUAUUGGGUAAUUUAGACAAUUUUAAAUAUUUUGGAUAAAAAAACAUUUGGAUAAUUCGAUUUUUUUUGGUAAUUCGGUUUAAAAGUAAAUUGUUAAGAUAUUUGGUUAUUUUAAAACUAAAUGACUUAAUUAUUUUAGGUAGAUAAACUACUAUGUUUGAAAAUUUAAGUAUUCAUUCAGUUCUAAUUUUUUUAUUUCGAAAAUAUAAGAUAUGUGCAAAUAUUUAUGAAAUUAGUUUCGAUUUCGGUUUGGUGGGUAAAUGUGUCCAUUGCCUACAUGCAUGAUAUAUAGUUAUUUUGUAAAAAUGUUAGAAAUUUGUAAAAGCAUUUUCCCUAUGCAAUCGAUUAUUCAUAGCUUAUGUUGAUUCAAUCAAUUUCAGCUUUGUUAAUCAACAAGCCGAUCAACGAAGACCUCUAUGACAUUGCAGCUAGUUUAACCAACUAUAAUUAUACUAACAUUUUAUCUCGAAAUUCAUGCUUGAUGUUACAUUAGAAAAAAACAACGAAAAGGUCCAAUUGCUAGAAGACAUAUAUCCGCAUAAUCACGACAUAGCAUCUGCCAUGGCAUCUGCAGUUGACAUGUUCCUCUUGUGAUCCUGACGCCUAAGAAAAUAAGUACAAGUGUCUUACAAAUAAAUUUAAUAAAGUGGUGACUUUGAUGAAGAAAGCAAUCAAUAGUUAUGCAAAUUGCAAAUUCCGAUAGAAAGAAUCUUCGCUUAGUAUAUUCGUCUCUGCCUCUUAUGAAAUCUCAAGAGACAUCUCUUUUAUCUUCUUUCCCACUGAACCAAAUCUAAUGCCUCUAUUUUAUUCGCAAGCAUCAACAUUACUAUUCUUUUCUUUUGGUUGAAAACAUCACUUAUAUUUAAAAAAAUUGUUCUUCAAAAUUAUUCUCCUAUUAGUUUUAAAAAAAAAAUUAUUCUCUUUGGAUUUCUUGCUGAUAGAAUAGUACUUCUGACAAAUGAAAUACAUACAGUAUGUUGCUGAUAUCAAUAAUAAUCAUAGAAAUCAAUAGUCCUGACGAGAGCGGUCCAUGAAGCUGAACUCCUACUCACCUGGUCCACGUACAUUGUUAUUUCUAAGAGUUUGCGUAUCCUAGAUCUUUCCAUCUUGAAGAUCUCAGGCUCGAUCUGGUUUAGUAUCCAGUUCUUUUUUUUUCUAUAUGCAAUAUGGGUUCUCAUGCAGCAUUACAACGAUAUAGUGUUUCAAUGUAUAAAAUAACAUGCCACUCGAUCAAAUAUACGUAUCAACAAUAAGAUACUUAUCAAUAAGAUCAUGCAUAUUUGUAAAAUUGAGGAUAAUCUCGAAGUUAUUCUCCACUUUUUUAUAUAAUACUUCUCACAUUGUAUAGGGGGGCGUCUUAUUCUCAAGGGGACAAUUUCUAUCUCCAACUUUAGUUACAGAGAGGCAAUCAUCUCAUUUCCCCAAAGUCAAACACUCGAAUCCAAAACACUCGAUUUUAAAAAAAACUGCCUAACACACUAAAUCUUGUCUCGUCUCCAUUCUCAUCAUUUUUUCUUCAUUAUUAUUGAGAACACAUAUCUACAUCAAGCCCUUCACUCCCGCUUUUAACCGAAAUUAACGAGCUCAACAUCGGACCGCAACACUCCAUGUCUUGCCUUAUCAAAGCUUUGCCUGCAUGACAACCGGUUAAAGAAACAUUAGAACGAAGACUCCAGAUCUUUGAGUCUUCAACUAUAUUGCUCCAGAAGCAUCCCAAACCAAUGAACUAAGAUGGUUCUUAAUAAUGUCGAAGAAGUAUUAAAUAGUCUCAUCAUGUGGCUGUGAGGUGAAGUCAAGAGACACUUAUAAUAGAGGGUAUAUCUGUAAUUUUAAGGUUUGUGUGUUGUGUGGUAUUACCUGGGAAUACAAGAAGGUUCCAAGGAUAGCAAUGGCAGCUCCAAGAGCAUUGACGGGCUGGACAGGAGUACGGAAGAUAAUGAUGGAGGAGACGAUGACUGAGAUACGCUUCAUGGUGUUACCAACACUAAACGUCAAGGGAGAGAUUUGGUCUAAAGACAUGUAAGACACUUGGUUGUAGAGGUGAUAGAACACACUCUGCGCAGCCACCCACCUACAAAAUUUAGUAGAAACAUGAAAAGACGGAAGGACUCUUAAUGAUUCGGAUGAAAUACGAGAGUCUUGAGAGAUAAAGACAAGAACUUGAUAAAUGGGUCUUUUCACAACGCAUUAUAGGAACAGGACAAAACGUCAAACAUACACUUUGAGUUUAAAAGGGUUCCUAAGAGUUGUUUAGAGGGAAGUUACCCGACAAACUGAGGUCCGAUGUCGGAGAGAGCCUUCUGCCAGCCAUCAGCCCACAUCUGAGGUCCUUCAACCGCAAAUGCAAAGGGCGUGAGGAUCAAGAGUGAUAGCAUUGAGAGACAUGCGUAGUAGUUCAUUCCGCUCACAGACUUUCCCUUCAUCCCCUUCUUCGAGAAGAUGUUGCGGAAGACGAAUGCCAAGUUCGAUAUCAUCGCUCCCAUGAAACCUGAGAGUAUAAACCAUUUCAAUCAUAACCAACAACAAUUACAAAGACAAAACAUAACAUGUGAGUGUCUAAGAAUAUAUAUAUUACCAGUCAUGUUGAAGUUAAGCUCAGUAAGAGCAGAGAGAGCACAACCACCAAUAAUCGGAAUGAGGGAGAGGUAAACCGAAGCAGGGAAGGUUUCACCCAAAAGGAACCUCGAGACAAGAACGCUAAACGCCGGCUCACCACUCUUGAUGAUGUGUGUGAAUGAAACCGCAACCUUUGACAUACUCACCGUUGCAGCCACAUGACCAAUUGUAUGCGCCACAGCAACCUUAAACCAAUCCAAAAAAAAAACACUUUCAAUACAACAAAACACCAAAAAAAAAUUAAUACUUUCACCUAUGAAAUUAACACAAUAAUAUGAACAAACACAGCCAAAAAGACACAUCGUUUUCUACUCUCUCUCUCUCUCACCCAGGAAGCAUACAAAACUAUGCAUAUCGUUCAGGUAAAAAACAAAACAAGAAAUAUUCAUGCAAGAUCUAUAAAUAAUUUUUUUAAAAACUGCUAUUUUUAGAAAGUUUUCAUUUUAUAGAGAAAUAUUGUAGAUUUGAGUUUGUUAUUUAGAAAUUUGAAUUACAAGAAUAUUUUUGGAUUGUUGAGUAUUCUUUCAGAGUUUUUCAUCAAUAGGUUGUAUUUUUAAAUAAUUUUCUUAAAAACUGCUAUUUUUGGAAAGUGUUUAUUUUUUAGAGAAAUAUUGUAGAUUUGAGUUUGUGGUUUAGAAGUUAAGAUCAAAAGAUUAUUUGUGGAUAGUUGAGUAUUCUUUCAGAUUUUUUCAUCAAUAUGUUGUAUUUUUAUUUUUUUUAGAGAAAUAUUUUAAAUUUGGGUUUACGGUAUAGAAAUUAAGAUAACAAGAAUAUUUUUGGAUAGUUGAGUAUUCUUUCAGAUUUUUUCAUCAAUAGGUUGUAU